AACCUUCAGCUGCCUGCAGCGCGCGGCUGCCCAGGAACAGGUUCAGAACUUCGUGGGAGUAAGAGAUGCAAAGAGACUCAAGCAGAGCAGAGCAAGCAACCUGAUGUCUUGCACGCUCAGCCCGCCUGUCAGAGUCCAGCCUGCCACAUGUGUUUAUGAACAGUGAGGGUGCGAGGACCAGUCCUCAGGUCACAGCGUGGAGUGGCGCCAAAGCCUCCAUCUGGGAUCCAGGACACAGGCACUGAAUUCAGGAUCUGUGACACGCCAGCCGAUCUCCCCUACAACAAGCCGUUCAUGGCUACUGCCCUGAGUGAUGUAAGGCUCUGACCUGCCUUCUGAGUCACGAAGAAUAGAUGUUCACAGCGGUACUCUUUGAAGACUGGUCCAUACGUUACGUGCGGAAGUUCAGUCUGUCAUCACGUCAGCCUCCUUCCACAAUGGAGCAGCACAAAUAUGGAGGCACGAGGGAGAUGUGCCGUGAAGCCCUUCGAAUCCUGGAAUUCGAACACAACAGAGCUCCACGAGAAGAGGAGAGAGGGACGGACGGUUGUUGGCAGGGCCGUCAUCAGGGUCCUGGGUGCAGGAAAAGAGAUGGUAUGCUCCGAAGGAAGGGUUGCAGAGCUCAGCAGAGGAACGAUGCAGUGCACACAGGGUUGAGGGAAACCAAGGAGGGGUGGGGGAGUGUUCAGGGACAGAAACAGCGGGGACAGCUCCCAUCCCCAGCGGGGUGUUGUCGGCUAGCUACAGGAGAUAGACGCCGGCAGGUGUUGUGGUUUUGGGAGAGGCAUUGAGCCACUAUCAAGGUCAAGACGGGCAGGGAGGGCUUCAGGAGGACAAAUAGCCUGACCUUGUUUUCUUCUCACCUUCUGUCUGUCCCUGAGAGCUUCCAUUGACCGAAUCCAACUAGAAACCAGAGGACAAGGAGGCCUGAUUGAUCCAGCCCACAGUCAGCCUGCUGGGGCACAGAGUUGGUUGGAAGAGUGUGGGGAAUGGACUGGAAAGGGCAGGUGGAGAAUAUCUAGUCUAGUUGGAGACAAGCAUCUGUCCCAGGAGCUUUGCUCAAAAUCCAUCACAGUAGGGACACGUGCAACUGGCAUGGACAAAUUUGGGAAUACCAUGGACUCUUCUUGAUAAGAAAAUAACUCCAUUCCUGAGAACAGAAGUGCCUGAGGACAUGAGAGCAUGGCCCAGGGGCUGUGAGCGAUCAGGGUGCCGUGGGCUUUUCUGGUUUACUCAGAAAUGGAGGGCAUCGGUUGAGUCUGCGAGUCUGUAAGGAGGUGGGUAAAAAGAGCUUUCCUAUUUUACCUCCCUUCCUUCCUGGGGUGGCUAAGGAGCAGAAGAGAUGCUGCGGACACAAUUUAGUAUUAUUUACGAAGUACUUCGUCUGCACCAGUUACUGAGAACUGGAUGCUGUGGGGACAAACAGAGGAAGGAGGAGGAACGGCCUCAAGCCUCCUGGAGUUUACAUUCUAGGAGGAGAGAUAAACUACACAGACGGACAGAGUAAUGAGAAGUAGAAAGAAUUAAAAUGCUAAAGCGGGGGAUCCGGAUGACUGGCCAGGAAUUUGACGAAGGAGGCACCACAUCGUAGUCCGUGGUUUCUGCGGGUGCUCCAGGGGCUCCCACCUGGGUGGGACUGGGUUCAAGCCCUGACGCCUGCAUUUGGAGACCAGGGCGUGCGUAAUCAGAACUGGGCAGUGGGACGAAACAGAAUGUAUCAUACUUGGCCUUCCCAUCUCCUCCCUUUUGGGUGGAGUCCUUUGGAUCCCUUUGUCUUCACUGUGUCUGUGGCAGGCUCGUGUUGGGCUUCUCGGGGCCCAGACCGAUGAAGGGUGAAAGGCUAGAGCAGGCAUUUGGGGAUUCUCUGCUCUUUGCCGAUACUGUGUGUGUCCGGGGAGGAGGAGGAAAGCCAUUUGCAACCCCGCGUGAGUGGUGUUCCAUUGCAGGGGUGUGGGGCUGAUAAGAGAUCCGGUGUCCUCCCCAGCCCUGUGCUCUUUAAACACCCAGGGGAAAGGUGGAGUGUUAAACCCAUCCGUUCACCCUCAAGGGUUAGAGCAGGCUUUCACAAAGUGUUUUUUUGUGGGACAUAAGGUCCGAGAAGCAACAAUAAAAGGGUCCUUGGCUGAAUAUAUGUAGGAUACACCAGACUAAACAAAGUUAAAUAGGGUCCCUUGCUGUGAGGUCUCUAAGUCUCUCACGUGAUGCUGUAUUAUGAAAUUCCUACAGCAGGCUAGCUAGGGCCCACAGCGAUUCCCAGUCUUACUGGACCAAAGAACCCCCUUUUUUAAUGAACACCCAAGGUUAUCUGUUGGAACAUCAGCAUUCUGAGGAGUGGUUUCAGAAAUGCUUAAUAUGUGGUGAGUUUGCCUUUUAAAAAGGGAGCCCACGAGAGAGAGAAAACAGUAUUUAGUGCUAUAGGAUUUCUGCUAACAUGUCAG
Long non-coding RNA from Ursus thibetanus thibetanus, 2438 nucleotides. The record is from Ensembl. Lineage: Eukaryota; Metazoa; Chordata; Mammalia; Carnivora; Ursidae.